RNAcentral lists this ribosomal RNA (399 nucleotides) under uncultured bacterium. RNAcentral describes it as "bacterial SSU rRNA". It matches the Rfam family "Bacterial small subunit ribosomal RNA", at positions 360 to 776 of the family's 1533-position model. The record is from RNAcentral.
AAUUUUGCGCAAUGGGGGAAACCCUGACGCAGCAACGCCGCGUGAAUGUUAAGCCCUUCGGGGUGUAAAGUUCUGUCAGUGGGGACGAAACUUGACGGUACCCACAGAGGAAGCACCGGCUAACUCCGUGCCAGCAGCCGCGGUAAUACGGAGGGUGCAAGCGUUGUCCGGAAUCAUUGGGCGUAAAGAGUUCGUAGGUGGCAUGUUAAGUCUGGUGUUAAAGCCCGAAGCUCAACUUCGGUUCGGCACUGGAUACUGGCAAGCUUGAAUGCGGUAGAGGUAAAGGGAAUUCCUGGUGUAGCGGUGAAAUGCGUAGAUAUCAGGAGGAACAUCAGUGGCGUAAGCGCUUUACUGGGCCGUAAUUGACACUGAGGAACGAAAGCCGGGGUAGCAAAUGGG